UACGGAGGGUGCAAGCGUUAAUCGGAAUUACUGGGCGUAAAGCGCGCGUAGGCGGUUUGAUAAGCGGGAUGUGAAAGCCCCGGGCUUAACCUGGGAACGGCAUUCCGAACUGUCAGGCUAGAGUAUGGUAGAGGGUAGUGGAAUUUCCUGUGUAGCGGUGAAAUGCGUAGAUAUAGGAAGGAACACCAGUGGCGAAGGCGGACUACCUGGACCAAUACUGACGCUGAGGUGCGAAAGCGUGGGGAGCAAA
Molecule: ribosomal RNA, 250 nt
Filed under: uncultured bacterium
Lineage: Bacteria
Description: partial 16S ribosomal RNA
Rfam family: Bacterial small subunit ribosomal RNA
Source: RNAcentral